Molecule: ribosomal RNA, 583 nt
Filed under: uncultured bacterium
Lineage: Bacteria
Description: bacterial SSU rRNA
Rfam family: Bacterial small subunit ribosomal RNA
Source: RNAcentral
CCCUGCACAAGCGGUGGAGCAUGUGGUUUAAUUCGAUGCAACGCGAAGAACCUUACCUACUCUUGACAUCUACAGAAGCCAGCGGAGACGCAGGUGUGCCUUCGGGAACUGUAAGACAGGUGCUGCAUGGCUGUCGUCAGCUCGUGUUGUGAAAUGUUGGGUUAAGUCCCGCAACGAGCGCAACCCUUAUCCUUGUUUGCCAGCACUUCGGGUGGGAACUCCAGGGAGACUGCCGGUGAUAAACCGGAGGAAGGUGGGGACGACGUCAAGUCAUCAUGGCCCUUACGAGUAGGGCUACACACGUGCUACAAUGGCGCAUACAGAGGGCGGCCAACUUGCGAAAGUGAGCGAAUCCCAAAAAGUGCGUCGUAGUCCGGAUUGGAGUCUGCAACUCGACUCCAUGAAGUCGGAAUCGCUAGUAAUCGUGGAUCAGAAUGCCACGGUGAAUACGUUCCCGGGCCUUGUACACACCGCCCGUCACACCAUGGGAGUGGGCUGCAAAAGAAGUGGGUAGUUUAACCUUCGGGAGGACGCUCACCACUUUGUGGUUCAUGACUGGGGUGAAGUCGUAACAAGGUAACCG